This 755-nucleotide ribosomal RNA is filed under the name uncultured bacterium. RNAcentral's name for it is "bacterial SSU rRNA". It matches the Rfam family "Bacterial small subunit ribosomal RNA", at positions 8 to 796 of the family's 1533-position model. The record is from RNAcentral.
AGAGUUUGAUCCUGGCUCAGAUUGAACGCUGGCGGAAUGCUUUACACAUGCAAGUCGAGCGGCAGCGCGGGGCAACCUGGCGGCGAGCGGCGAACGGGUGAGUAAUGCAUCGGAACAUGUCCAUGUCGUGGGGGAUAGCCCGGCGAAAGCCGGAUUAAUACCGCAUAAGCUCGAGAGAGGAAAGCAGCAAUGCGCUGGAAGAGGAGUCCGCGGCCGAUUAGCUAGUUGGUAGGGUAAAAGCCUACCAAGGCUACGAUCGGUAGCCGGCCUGAGAGGGCACACGGCCACACUGGCACUGAAACACGGGCCAGACUCCUACGGGAGGCAGCAGUGGGGAAUCUUGCACAAUGGGGGCAACCCUGAUGCAGCGACGCCGCGUGAGCGAUGAAGCCCUUCGGGGUGUAAAGCUCUUUCGGCAGGGAAGAUUAUGACGGUACCUGCAGAAGCAGCUGCGGCUAACUACGUGCCAGCAGCCGCGGUAAUACGUAGGCAGCAAGCGUUGUUCGGAGUUACUGGGCGUAAAGGGUGUGUAGGCGGUUCUCUAAGUCUGGUGUGAAAUCUCCCGGCUCAACUGGGAGGGUGCGCCGAAAACUGGAGGACUAGAGUGCGGGAUGGGAGAGUGGAAUUCCUGGUGUAGCGGUGAAAUGCGUAGAUAUCAGGAGGAACACCUGUGGUGUAGACGGCUCUCUGGACCGCAACUGACGCUGAGACACGAAAGCGUGGGUAGCAAACAGGAUUAGAUACCCUAGUAGUCC